GCACUGGAGGGCAUCGCAUUACACACCCUCGCACCUCACACCACUCCUCCAUCCACCUUUUUGCCAGCGUGAGAGCUUCUUCUUUCUUGCGAGGGAGAGAGGGUAGCGAGCAACCAGGGAGCUAGGCGUCAAUGGCGACCAUAGCCACGAUGACCAUGCUCAAGCCCGCCAAGAUCACGGCCAGGUCGGCGCCUUCGUCGCCGUCGUCCAGCGCCAAGGUGGCGUCGCCGAGCAUCUCGCUGCGCAGCCUGCAGAAGAACGCGGCCAAGAAGGGAGCCCUGGCCGUGUCGCCGGCGGCCGCGGCCAUGGCGAGCGCCUUCUUCACCUCGCUGGCCUCGUCGGACGCGGCGAUGGCGUCGCAGCGGAUCGCGGACGUGGCGGCGGCGGCCCCCGCGGACGACAACCGGGGCCUGCUCCUGCUCUUCGUGGUGGCGCCCGCGCUCGGGUGGGUGCUCUACAACAUCCUCCAGCCGGCGCUGAACCAGCUCAACAAGAUGCGGUCCGAGAAGGCGCUCGUCGCCGGGCUCGGCAUCGGCGCCGCCGCGGCCGCCGGCCUGGCCGCCGUGCCGGAGCCGGCCUCCGCUGCCGUGCAGGAGCUGGCCGCGCUGGCGGCGGUCGCGCCGGCCGACGACAACCGGGGCCUGCUGCUGCUCUUCGUGGUGGCGCCCGCCCUCGGCUGGGUGCUCUACAACAUCCUGCAGCCGGCGCUGAACCAGCUCAACAAAAUGCGAUCCAACUGAGCGCGCGUACGUCGUCGUCGUGGCAUCGCAUGCGGUCCGGCCGAGUGGGUUCGUAUGUGUGUGUUCGUCUAUUAAGAGUCGUGGUAGUAGCGUGGAACGUGGUGUGAGUGCCCGCUUGCAUACUCUCUAAUCUUGUUCCUUCCAUUGAUCAAAUGCAGUACAGCUCUUCUUGUUUUCUCUUCUGCUACGUUCAGUGCAAUGUUCUCUUCUGCUACGUUCCAUGCUGGAUUGGGUUUUUAGGGCAACUCUAACCAAUCCUGUAAAAAUAAAGGACGAUCCUUAGCAAAUGUUUUUACUUCAGAUUUGACCGGUGCUAGCCGAUCCACAAUAUAUAACGAGUAAAGUUACUUUUUGUUUACGUAUUUCGUCGAACAUUUGUCAUGCGUGUCCGCGAUGAUGGUGACCACAUCGAAAACGCUGGCGUCCGCCAUCGUGAUC
RNAcentral lists this ribosomal RNA (1178 nucleotides) under Triticum aestivum (bread wheat). RNAcentral's name for it is "partial small subunit ribosomal RNA". Lineage: Eukaryota; Viridiplantae; Streptophyta; Magnoliopsida; Poales; Poaceae. The record is from RNAcentral.